UACAUGGGGUGCAAACGUUGCUCGGAAUUAUUGGGCGUAAAGCGCACGUAGGCGGUUCGUUAAGUCGGAUGUGAAAGCCCUCGGCUCAACUGAGGAAGUGCACCCGAAACUGGCGAGCUUGAGUACGAAAGAGGAUCGCGGAAUUCCCGGUGUAGAGGUGAAAUUCGUAGAUAUCGGGAGGAACACCGGUGGCGAAGGCGGCUCACUGGCUCGUAACUGACGCUCAUGCACGACAGCGUGGGAUCAAACAGG
RNAcentral lists this ribosomal RNA (252 nucleotides) under uncultured bacterium. RNAcentral describes it as "partial 16S ribosomal RNA". It matches the Rfam family "Bacterial small subunit ribosomal RNA", at positions 524 to 776 of the family's 1533-position model. The record is from RNAcentral.